RNAcentral lists this ribosomal RNA (492 nucleotides) under uncultured bacterium. RNAcentral describes it as "partial 16S ribosomal RNA". It matches the Rfam family "Bacterial small subunit ribosomal RNA", at positions 29 to 507 of the family's 1533-position model. The record is from RNAcentral.
AGUGAACGCUGGCGGUAGGCCUAACACAUGCAAGUCGAACGGCAGCACAGUAAGAGCUUGCUCUUACGGGUGGCGAGUGGCGGACGGGUGAGGAAUACAUCGGAAUCUACUUUUUCGUGGGGGAUAACGUAGGGAAACUUACGCUAAUACCGCAUACGACCUACGGGUGAAAGCAGGGGAUCUUCGGACCUUGCGCGAUUGAAUGAGCCGAUGUCGGAUUAGCUAGUUGGCGGGGUAAAGGCCCACCAAGGCGACGAUCCGUAGCUGGUCUGAGAGGAUGAUCAGCCACACUGGAACUGAGACACGGUCCAGACUCCUACGGGAGGCAGCGGUGGGGAAUAUUGGACAAUGGGCGCAAGCCUGAUCCAGCCAUACCGCGUGGGUGAAGAAGGCCUUCGGGUUGUAAAGCCCUUUUGUUGGGAAAGAAAAGCAGCAGAUUAAUACCCCGCUGUUCUGACGGUACCCAAAGAAUAAGCACCGGCUAACUUCGUG